CUUCCCAAAUAAAGACAUACUAUUUGUAUACUUAAUAGGCUAAAGGUCACAUCCUCAGCUCUAAAAAUCAUGGUAGUUCUGCUGCUGCCACUUUACACCAGCUGAGGCUUUAGCCCUAUAUGUUCCUGUUAUUGCAAAUGGGGAAUUAUGCCCUUCUGUACCACACUGGAAAUCCAAUGUCAGUAAUAUAAAGCAUCUACAUUUAUGGAUCAAAAUGAAACUGGCAGAGCUUCUCCUUUGAUGGCUAUUUCAAAUAUACAGCUCAUCACGUUGUAAUUCUUUCCCUGUCUGUGCUUAGAAACACGUGGAACACCGACAAGCCUACAAAACCCUGUUGUUCUCCUCUGUGCACAUUCUGAUCUUUUGGUAUAAAUGUACAUCAGAUCCUGAGUGCCUGAUUCCUAGAUAUUGAACUCAGAUAACAAGAAUUGCUAUUGAUUCUAAACAACAGGAAGCAACAAGUGGUGAGUCCCCUUUCUUUCUCCGACCUUAUGUGCAUUUCCAUUAUUUCACAGGCUAAGCUUUGGAGGAAACUUCCUCUGAAAGUAUAAACCACUAGAGGCCUCCUGAACACUUGAAUUGAUUUAGUUUCCAGAAAGACGUAGUCUCCUAAAAAGUACAUCAGGAUUACAGAAGAAAUGUUUCCCAGUAUGCCAACCCAGGCUGACACAUAGGCUAGCAAGGGAACCAUCUGCAGAGGAAUGUCACAGUGACAAGGCACUGAGCCACCACAGUGACCCCGGCACACAAGACUACAGCUCACGUCGAUGUAGGUGCUCCGUGAAGCAACCAAAAGCAGCUGUUCCAGCAACAGGAGGACUCCAGACACUGCAGUGUGACAGCUAA
This 846-nucleotide long non-coding RNA is filed under the name Chrysemys picta bellii (western painted turtle). RNAcentral describes it as "lncRNA (ENSCPBG00000013108.1)". Lineage: Eukaryota; Metazoa; Chordata; Testudines; Emydidae. The record is from RNAcentral.